AUUGAACGCUGGCGGCAGGCCUAACACAUGCAAGUCGAACGGUAGCACAGAGAGCUUGCUCUUGGGUGACGAGUGGCGGACGGGUGAGUAAUGUCUGGGAAACUGCCCGAUGGAGGGGGAUAACUACUGGAAACGGUAGCUAAUACCGCAUAACGUCUUCGGACCAAAGUGGGGGACCUUCGGGCCUCACACCAUCGGAUGUGCCCAGAUGGGAUUAGCUAGUAGGUGGGGUAAUGGCUCACCUAGGCGACGAUCCCUAGCUGGUCUGAGAGGAUGACCAGCCACACUGGAACUGAGACACGGUCCAGACUCCUACGGGAGGCAGCAGUGGGGAAUAUUGCACAAUGGGCGCAAGCCUGAUGCAGCCAUGCCGCGUGUAUGAAGAAGGCCUUCGGGUUGUAAAGUACUUUCAGCGGGGAGGAAGGCGUUAAGGUUAAUAACCUUGGCGAUUGACGUUACCCGCAGAAGAAGCACCGGCUAACUCCGUGCCAGCCGCCGCAGUAA
Molecule: ribosomal RNA, 504 nt
Filed under: uncultured bacterium
Lineage: Bacteria
Description: partial 16S ribosomal RNA
Rfam family: Bacterial small subunit ribosomal RNA
Source: RNAcentral